UGGGGAAUAUUGGACAAUGGGGGGAACCCUGAUCCAGCCAUGCCGCGUGUGUGAAGAAGGCCUUAUGGUUGUAAAGCACUUUAAGCGAGGAGGAGGGUACUGGUAUUAAUACUACCAGGUACUGGACGUUACUCGCAGAAUAAGCACCGGCUAACUCUGUGCCAGCAGCCGCGGUAAUACAGAGGGUGCGAGCGUUAAUCGGAUUUACUGGGCGUAAAGCGUGCGUAGGCGGCUAAUUGAGUCGGAUGUGAAAUGCCCGAGCUUAACUUGGGAAUUGCAUUCGAUACUGGUUAGCUAGAGUGUGGGAGAGGAUGGUAGAAUUCCAGGUGUAGCGGUGAAAUGCGUAGAGAUCUGGAGGAAUACCGAUGGCGAAGGCAGCCAUCUGGCCUAACACUGACGCUGAGGUACGAAAGCAUGGGGAGCAAACAGG
This 430-nucleotide ribosomal RNA is filed under the name Pseudomonadota bacterium. Its description in RNAcentral is "Proteobacteria bacterium partial 16S ribosomal RNA". It matches the Rfam family "Bacterial small subunit ribosomal RNA", at positions 355 to 776 of the family's 1533-position model. Lineage: Bacteria; Pseudomonadati; Pseudomonadota. The record is from RNAcentral.